RNAcentral lists this ribosomal RNA (377 nucleotides) under uncultured Syntrophobacteraceae bacterium. Its description in RNAcentral is "bacterial SSU rRNA". It matches the Rfam family "Bacterial small subunit ribosomal RNA", at positions 521 to 896 of the family's 1533-position model. The record is from RNAcentral. Lineage: Bacteria; Pseudomonadati; Thermodesulfobacteriota; Syntrophobacteria; Syntrophobacterales; Syntrophobacteraceae.
UAAUACGGAGGGUGCAAGCGUUGUUCGGAAUCACUGGGCGUAAAGCGUGUGUAGGCGGUCAGGUCAGUCGGAUGUGAAAGCCCUGGGCUCAACCCAGGAACUGCAUACGAUACUGCCUGACUUGAGUAUGGGAGAGGGAAGCGGAAUUCCUGGUGUAGCGGUGAAAUGCGUAGAUAUCAGGAGGAACACCUGCGGCGAAAGCGGCUUCCUGGCCCAUAACUGACGCUGAGACACGAAAGCAUGGGGAGCAAACAGGAUUAGAUACCCUGGUAGUCCAUGCCGUAAACGAUGAGUGCUAGGUGUUGGAGGUAUUGACCCCUUCAGUGCCGACGCUAACGCAUUAAGCACUCCGCCUGGGGAGUACGGUCGCAAGAUUA